RNAcentral lists this non-coding RNA (29 nucleotides) under Cricetulus griseus (Chinese hamster). The record is from RNAcentral. Lineage: Eukaryota; Metazoa; Chordata; Mammalia; Rodentia; Cricetidae.
GCUGGACUGGAGAUAAGAUACCACAGAGG